GCCCUAAACGAUGUCUACUAGUUGUCGGGUCUUAAUUGACUUGGUAACGCAGCUAACGCGUGAAGUAGACCGCCUGGGGAGUACGGUCGCAAGAUUAAAACUCAAAGGAAUUGACGGGGACCCGCACAAGCGGUGGAUGAUGUGGAUUAAUUCGAUGCAACGCGAAAAACCUUACCUACCCUUGACAUGGUCGGAAUCCCGCUGAGAGGUGGGAGUGCUCGAAAGAGAACCGGCGCACAGGUGCUGCAUGGCUGUCGUCAGCUCGUGUCGUGAGAUGUUGGGUUAAGUCCCGCAACGAGCGCAACCCUUGUCCUUAGUUGCUACGCAAGAGCACUCUAAGGAGACUGCCGGUGACAAACCGGAGGAAGGUGGGGAUGACGUCAAGUCCUCAUGGCCCUUAUGGGUAGGGCUUCACACGUCAUACAAUGGUCGGAACAGAGGGUUGCCAACCCGCGAGGGGGAGCUAAUCCCAGAAAACCGAUCGUAGUCCGGAUUGCACUCUGCAACUCGAGUGCAUGAAGCUGGAAUCGC
This 531-nucleotide ribosomal RNA is filed under the name uncultured bacterium. Its description in RNAcentral is "bacterial SSU rRNA". It matches the Rfam family "Bacterial small subunit ribosomal RNA", at positions 799 to 1335 of the family's 1533-position model. The record is from RNAcentral.